RNAcentral lists this ribosomal RNA (253 nucleotides) under uncultured bacterium. Its description in RNAcentral is "partial 16S ribosomal RNA". It matches the Rfam family "Bacterial small subunit ribosomal RNA", at positions 524 to 776 of the family's 1533-position model. The record is from RNAcentral.
UACGUAGGGUGCAAGCGUUGUCCGGAAUUAUUGGGCGUAAAGAGCUUGUAGGCGGUUUGUCGCGUCUGCUGUGAAAUUUCGGGGCUCAACCCCGAACUUGCAGUGGGUACGGGCAGACUAGAGUGUGGUAGGGGAGACUGGAAUUCCUGGUGUAGCGGUGAAAUGCGCAGAUAUCAGGAGGAACACCGGUGGCGAAGGCGGGUCUCUGGGCCGAAAUUGACGCUGAGGAGCGAAAGCGUGGGGAGCAAACAGG